RNAcentral lists this ribosomal RNA (392 nucleotides) under Amolops daiyunensis (Daiyun torrent frog). Its description in RNAcentral is "partial 12S ribosomal RNA". It matches the Rfam family "Bacterial small subunit ribosomal RNA", at positions 794 to 1394 of the family's 1533-position model. Lineage: Eukaryota; Metazoa; Chordata; Amphibia; Anura; Ranidae. The record is from RNAcentral.
GCUUAGCCGUAAACAAUUAAUUUACACUAACAAACGCCAGGGAACUACGAGCCAUGCUUAAAACCCAAAGGACUUGACGGUGUCCCAUUCCCCCUAGAGGAGCCUGUUCUAUAAUCGAUGACCCCCGCUAUACCUAACCAUUCCUCGCUUUAUCAGCCUGUAUACCUCCGUCAUAAGCUUACCAUGUCAACGUUAACAGUAAGCCCAAUGGUUAACCUAAACCAACAUGUCAGGUCAAGGUGCAGCUUACGAAAUGGAAAGUAAUGGGCUACAAUUUCUAACAUAUGAACAAACGGAGACUAUGUGAAACCAUAGCAUGAAGGUGGAUUUAGUAGUAAAAAGAAAAUAGAGUGUUCUUUUUAAUGUUGGUUCUGGGACGCGUACACACCGCC